Molecule: small nucleolar RNA, 215 nt
Filed under: Sparus aurata (gilthead seabream)
Lineage: Eukaryota; Metazoa; Chordata; Actinopteri; Spariformes; Sparidae
Description: Small nucleolar RNA U3 (ENSSAUG00010003032.1)
Rfam family: Small nucleolar RNA U3
About the family: Small nucleolar RNAs (snoRNAs) are involved in the processing and modification of rRNA in the nucleolus. There are two main classes of snoRNAs: the box C/D class, and the box H/ACA class.
Source: Rfam by way of RNAcentral
AAGACUAUACUUUCAGGGAUAAUUUCUAUAGUUUUUGACUUGAGAAAUGUGUUUCUAAAGUGUUUGGUCUCGCUGACCCCAAUAAAGAGUUGUGAUAUUCCCUCAGAGCGUGAAGCUGACAGAGAGUAAUGUUUUAGCUCAUAUGUUCUUUGUCAUUGAUGAUCGUUCUGUAUUUUCUCACAGAGUACUGAGAAAGGGAAUAUGAUCAGAGUGGU